RNAcentral lists this small nuclear RNA (119 nucleotides) under Crocodylus porosus (Australian saltwater crocodile). RNAcentral describes it as "U2 spliceosomal RNA (ENSCPRG00005004811.1)". It matches the Rfam family "U2 spliceosomal RNA", at positions 67 to 185 of the family's 192-position model. From Rfam's summary of the family: U2 is a small nuclear RNA (snRNA) component of the spliceosome (involved in pre-mRNA splicing). Complementary binding between U2 snRNA (in an area lying towards the 5' end but 3' to hairpin I) and the branchpoint sequence (BPS) of the intron results the bulging out of an unpaired adenosine, on the BPS, which initiates a nucleophilic attack at the intronic 5' splice site, thus starting the first of two transesterification reactions that mediate splicing. The record is from RNAcentral. Lineage: Eukaryota; Metazoa; Chordata; Crocodylia; Crocodylidae.
UGUCCUCCAUAGGAGGUCUAUAUUGAGCAGAUUCUCUUUGGUAUUGGGUGGUGGAACCGGAGCGUGCUCCAUCCACUCCAUGCAUUGACCUGGUAUUGCAGUGCUUCCAGGACCAGUGC